AACGUAGGAGACAAACGUUAUCCGGAGUUACUGGGCGUAAAGGGCGUGUAGGUGGUUUCGUAAGUCUGGCGUGAAAUUUUUCGGCUUAACCGGGAAAGGUCGUCGGAUACUGCGAGGCUAGAGGACGGUAGAGGCGUGUGGAAUUCCGGGUGUAGCGGUGAAAUGCGCAGAUAUCGGGAGGAACACCAAUGGCGAAGGCAGCUCGCUGGGACGGUACUGACGCUGAGGUGCGAAAGCGUGGGGAGCAAACAGG
This 253-nucleotide ribosomal RNA is filed under the name uncultured bacterium. RNAcentral describes it as "partial 16S ribosomal RNA". It matches the Rfam family "Bacterial small subunit ribosomal RNA", at positions 524 to 776 of the family's 1533-position model. The record is from RNAcentral.